UAUAACUACUAAUGUACAUUACUUAUCUAUCUGGACUACUCUUAACAACCACUUAACAACCUAACUCUUUAAUAGAUUCUUCACAUCUUCAUAUCACAACACCCACAUUCAAGCUAGGUGGUGCAAAAAUAUUUAAAACUCUUAGCUUGAAUAGAAGAUGUUCAUGUUGCAAUCUAGACAAUCCUUUUGUCAAGACAUCAGCAGGUUGUCCUUGAGUAGGAAGGAUUCAUGAGAACUUCUUUGGUUGCUGGAAGAACUAACUCAAAGUUUGAGUACUAAAGGAUAUGUUAGGUCUAGUCAUGUUGAGAUACAGUAACUUGCCUAUUAAUUUCUGAUAUAUUGUCUGAUCUACCAAAGGAUUUUUUGAGUUUUUUUUAUUUUUGUUCGUAUGCUCAUCAUACUGUUUUGAUACCUAGAAAAUAUUUUAGCUCACUUAAAUAUUUCAUCUUAAAGGCUUGUUA
Solanum dulcamara is the source of this 461-nucleotide long non-coding RNA. RefSeq lists it as uncharacterized. The transcript has 2 exons. The record is from RefSeq and is a predicted model, not a curated record. Lineage: Eukaryota; Viridiplantae; Streptophyta; Magnoliopsida; Solanales; Solanaceae.